GAUGAACGCUGGCGGCGUGCCUAAUACAUGCAAGUCGAACGAACAGGCGCUGUCCUUGCUCCUCUGACGUUGACGGCGGGCGUAAGAGUAACGCGAGGAUCCCCUAACUUUGGGACAGGGCUAACUUCGUGAAACCAGAGCUAAUACCGUGUUAUAUCUUGAUCCGCAUGGUUCAAUAGUUAAAGACGGUUUUGCUGUCCCUUCUAGAUGGCUCCGCGCCGCAUUAGCUAGUUGGUAACGUAACGGCUUCCCGAGGCAACGAUGCGUGGCCGACCUGCGAGGGGGAACGGCCACACUGGGACUGAGAGACGGUCCAGACUCCUACGGGAGGCAGAAGUAGGGAAUCUUCCGCAAUGGGCGAAAGCCUGACGGAUCAACGCCGCGUGAGUGAUGAAGGUCCGCGGAUCGGAAAACUCUGUUAGUAGUGAAGAACAAAUGUGUAAGUAACUAUGCACGUCGUGACGGUACCUAAUCAGAAAGCCACGGCUAACUACGUG
Molecule: ribosomal RNA, 497 nt
Filed under: uncultured bacterium
Lineage: Bacteria
Description: partial 16S ribosomal RNA
Rfam family: Bacterial small subunit ribosomal RNA
Source: RNAcentral